GAUGAACGCUAGCUACAGGCUUAACACAUGCAAGUCGAGGGGCAGCAUGAACCAAGCUUGCUUGGUUUGAUGGCGACCGGCGCACGGGUGAGUAACGCGUAUCCAACCUGCCCUGUACUGGGGAAUAGCCUGCCGAAAGGCAGAUUAAUGCCCCAUGCACUCCUUUGACGGCAUCAGACGAGGAGUAAAGGUUUUUCCGGUAUGGGAUGGGGAUGCGUCCGAUUAGCUUGACGGCGGGUUGACAGCCCACCGUGGCGACGAUCGGUAGGGGUUCUGAGAGGAAGGUCCCCCACAUUGGAACUGAGACACGGUCCAAACUCCUACGGGAGGCAGCAGUGAGGAAUAUUGGUCAAUGGACGGGAGUCUGAACCAGCCAAGUAGCGUGCAGGAUGACGGCCCUAUGGGUUGUAAACUGCUUUUGUGCGGGGAUAAAGUGUGGGACGCGUCCCAUAUUGCAGGUACCGCAUGAAUAAGGACCGGCUAAUUCCCGUGCCAGCAGCCG
RNAcentral lists this ribosomal RNA (502 nucleotides) under uncultured bacterium. RNAcentral describes it as "bacterial SSU rRNA". It matches the Rfam family "Bacterial small subunit ribosomal RNA", at positions 28 to 517 of the family's 1533-position model. The record is from RNAcentral.